AUGAAACUAGAGAAAGGUCUUUCUUUCAGUGUAUUUUCAGAAGUUGAACUCAUACAUGCAACCGACAACUUUGACAAUAGCAGAAUACUUGGAAAAGGGGGGCAUGGGACGGUCUAUAAAGGGAUAACAAAUAGUAACAUGCAUGUUGCAAUUAAAAGAUGUGGAUUAGUUGACGAGAGGCAAAAGGAAUUUGGGCAAGAGAUGCUCAUUUUGUCCCAAUUCAAUCACAAGAAUAUCGUUAAGCUUUUGGGUUGCUGCCUUGAGGUGGAAGUUCCAAGUCUAGUAUAUGAUAUGAGUUUGUUCAAAGUGGUAUCCUAUUUGAGCUUAUUCAUGUCAAGAACCAAGCGCUGCAAAUCUCCUUCAGGACCCUCUUAA
RNAcentral lists this ribosomal RNA (375 nucleotides) under Triticum aestivum (bread wheat). RNAcentral's name for it is "partial small subunit ribosomal RNA". Lineage: Eukaryota; Viridiplantae; Streptophyta; Magnoliopsida; Poales; Poaceae. The record is from RNAcentral.